Molecule: RNA transcript, 2039 nt
Organism: Cucurbita pepo subsp. pepo (vegetable marrow)
Lineage: Eukaryota; Viridiplantae; Streptophyta; Magnoliopsida; Cucurbitales; Cucurbitaceae
Gene name: putative inactive heme oxygenase 2, chloroplastic
Source: RefSeq, a predicted model, not a curated record
AGAUGGUCUGCAAGCCCAACCCAGUUUCGUGCUCUAUUCAGGCCCGGCCUUCUUGUUGUCAGCUUCGAUUCCAAGGAUACCGGCGAAGUCGGAUACCAGAACAACAAUCUUCAGCCUGACUGUUCCUGUGACGAUGUCGCUGCCGGAAAGCGUAUCGCUGCGUUCUUUUGAACGAAUUUCUCCAACUUAUGCUUCUGUUUCUUCCUCCUCCUUAGGUUCUUCGAGACCUUUGAGGAGUUGUACAAGUGUAGCGACUCGGACGAUGAAGUUCAGAAAUGGAGGUGCUCUGAGGUUGUGCUGCUCGGAUUCAAAUCAUUCUGCUCCUCUGCCUUCCACGACUGCGACAAGCACGGGCUCUGCUCCGCCGGUUCUGAAGAAGAAAAAGAGAUACAGGAGAGAGUAUCCUGGAGAGAGCAAAGGCAUUACUGAGGAGUUAAGGUUCGUCGCCAUGAGGCUUCAUAAUGUUAGUGGUAAAAAGUUAUCUGGUGACGCUGUGGAUUCAUCCAGCGAAGUUGAAGUAGAGGAGAAAGACGACGGAAAUUUGGUGUUGAGUGACGAUGAUAAUGAUGAGGAUGGGGAUGGUACACAGACUUGGCAACCGAGCUUGGAAGGGUUCCUUAAAUAUUUGGUCGAUAGUAAGCUCGUCUUCAGCACUGUGGAGCUAAUCGUUGAUGAAUCCAGCGACGUUGCUUAUAGUUACUUCAGAAAAUCAGGGUUGGAACGUUCAGAAUGUCUUGAAAAGGAUCUAGAAUGGUUCAGUGCACAGGGUAUUGUGAUACCUGAUCCGACCAGUUCAGGAAUUUCUUAUGCUAAGUAUCUGGAGGAACUUGCUGAGAGGAGUGCCCCUUUGUUCCUUUCCCAUUAUUAUAAUAUCAACUUUUCACAUAUAGCAGGUGGGCAAGUGAUAGCGAAACAGGUUUCUGAGAGACUCCUUGAAGGAAGAAAGCUUGAAUUUUAUACAUGGGAAGAGGAUGCAGAAGAAUUACUGAAAAACGUUCGUGAGAAGCUUAACAUGCUUGGAGAGCACUGGUCUCGGGAUGAGAAAAAUAAAUGUUUGAGAGAAGCAGUCAAGUCAUUCCGCUUUUUGGGAGAGAUAGUUCGACUGAUCAUCUUAUAAAUGCUAUGACUUUGAAGCUGUUCCCGGUAGGAGUUGACAAUGCACAGAAAAUGGCUCUCUUAUUCAAUCAAUCAAACUUGCAAUGAAUCUACAGAGUUGCCCCCAUUCAAGGGCUUCGAUACUCUGAUUGGUAAUCAGUGAUUUUGGCCAGUGGUGGCUGAAGACAUGGAGCCAGUGACCUUCCCCAACUUGAGGAGCUAACUCCAUUAUUUUCAACAUUCCAUCAAAUGCCAUCAGUAAUGCGCACUUGGUCAAUUAUCACUUUCACUUUGCCUAGUGGCUCAACAUCGUUCAAGACAGUGACACUCAGCACAAAAUCAAAUUGGCACUUUCAUUCUUGAUAUAGUUAAGAAUCUAUUGAAAAUACUAAAUAUUAGGUUCUAUAUUUCGUUUAUGUUCUGAGUUAUUAUAUUAAAUAUUUAGUCUUUAAAUUUUAAAAAACUUCAAUUACAUGUUUGAAAUCUAUAAUGUGCUUCUGCUUAAUAUUUCUUAUUAAUUCUAUUCAUAGAAUAUUGAGAUGACAUGUUCAUUAACUUAUAUAGCCAUUUGCUUCAUAUUAUAUUCUUCGAUAUAAAUAAAUCCUUGAAUUGAACCAUUAGCGUUCAAUCGACCUGAAAGGCCAUAAAAAGGCACUUCAAAGCUUUAGGAACUCAUCUAAUUUUAAUUGAAGUUUUCUAGAACAAUAUUAUGCACUUUAAAGCAUAUCAGGGAAAAUAUAUGGCAAUUCUUUUGUGGGAAAAAAAAAAAGAGUAGAAAAUACCUUUCAUGAUCAAUAUGUUGUGCUUUUGUUUUUUUUUUUUUUUCCUUUCUGGUGAGAAAUUUUGCCAAAAACAUAUGUUCAAGAGAUAUUUUGCUGAUAUUAAUUUGUUUAAGUUAUGUUUCGAAACUAUUAAUAGAACUCCAUUCUGAUCAUAUUUAAAAA